GAUGAACGCUGGCGGCGUGCCUAAUACAUGCAAGUCGAGCGAACGGACGAGAAGCUUGCUUCUCUGAUGUUAGCGGCGGACGGGUGAGUAACACGUGGAUAACCUACCUAUAAGACUGGGAUAACUUCGGGAAACCGGAGCUAAUACCGGAUGAUAUUUUGAACCGCAUGGUUCAAAAGUGAAAGACGGUCUUGCUGUCACUUAUAGAUGGAUCCGCGCUGCAUUAGCUAGUUGGUAAGGUAACGGCUUACCAAGGCAACGAUGCAUAGCCGACCUGAGAGGGUGAUCGGCCACACUGGAACUGAGACACGGUCCAGACUCCUACGGGAGGCAGCAGUAGGGAAUCUUCCGCAAUGGGCGAAAGCCUGACGGAGCAACGCCGCGUGAGUGAUGAAGGUCUUCGGAUCGUAAAACUCUGUUAUUAGGGAAGAACAUAUGUGUAAGUAACUGUGCACAUCUUGACGGUACCUAAUCAGAAAGCCACGGCUAACUACGUGCCAGCAGCCGCGGUAAUACGUAGGUGGCAAGCGUUAUCCGGAAUUAUUGGGCGUAAAGCGCGCGUAGGCGGUUUUUUAAGUCUGAUGUGAAAGCCCACGGCUCAACCGUGGAGGGUCAUUGGAAACUGGAAAACUUGAGUGCAGAAGAGGAAAGUGGAAUUCCAUGUGUAGCGGUGAAAUGCGCAGAGAUAUGGAGGAACACCAGUGGCGAAGGCGACUUUCUGGUCUGUAACUGACGCUGAUGUGCGAAAGCGUGGGGAUCAAACAGGAUUAGAUACCCUGGUAGUCCACGCCGUAAACGAUGAGUGCUAAGUGUUAGGGGGUUUCCGCCCCUUAGUGCUGCAGCUAACGCAUUAAGCACUCCGCCUGGGGAGUACGACCGCAAGGUUGAAACUCAAAGGAAUUGACGGGGACCCGCACAAGCGGUGGAGCAUGUGGUUUAAUUCGAAGCAACGCGAAGAACCUUACCAAAUCUUGACAUCCUUUGACAACUCUAGAGAUAGAGCCUUCCCCUUCGGGGGACAAAGUGACAGGUGGUGCAUGGUUGUCGUCAGCUCGUGUCGUGAGAUGUUGGGUUAAGUCCCGCAACGAGCGCAACCCUUAAGCUUAGUUGCCAUCAUUAAGUUGGGCACUCUAAGUUGACUGCCGGUGACAAACCGGAGGAAGGUGGGGAUGACGUCAAAUCAUCAUGCCCCUUAUGAUUUGGGCUACACACGUGCUACAAUGGACAAUACAAAGGGCAGCGAAACCGCGAGGUCAAGCAAAUCCCAUAAAGUUGUUCUCAGUUCGGAUUGUAGUCUGCAACCCGACUACAUGAAGCUGGAAUCGCUAGUAAUCGUAGAUCAGCAUGCUACGGUGAAUACGUUCCCGGGUCU
This 1372-nucleotide ribosomal RNA is filed under the name uncultured bacterium. RNAcentral's name for it is "bacterial SSU rRNA". It matches the Rfam family "Bacterial small subunit ribosomal RNA", at positions 28 to 1381 of the family's 1533-position model. The record is from RNAcentral.